AGUGAACGCUGGCGGUAGGCCUAACACAUGCAAGUCGAACGGCAGCACAGUAAGAGCUUGCUCUUACGGGUGGCGAGUGGCGGACGGGUGAGGAAUACAUCGGAAUCUACUUUUUCGUGGGGGAUAACGUAGGGAAACUUACGCUAAUACCGCAUACGACCUACUGGUGAAAGCAGGGGAUCUUCGGACCUUGCGCGAUUGAAUGAGCCGAUGUCGGAUUAGCUAGUUGGCGGGGUAAAGGCCCACCAAGGCGACGAUCCGUAGCUGGUCUGAGAGGAUGAUCAGCCACACUGGAAAUGAGACACGGUCCAGACUCCUACGGGAGGCAGCAGUGGGGAAUAUUGGACAAUGGGAGCAGGACUGAUCAAGCCAUACCGCGUGGGUGAAGAAGGACUUCGGGUUGUAAAGCCCUUUUGUUGGGAAAGAAAAGCAGCAGGUUAAUACCCCGCUGUUCUGACGGUACCCAAAGAAUAAGCACCGGCUAACUUCGUG
Molecule: ribosomal RNA, 492 nt
Filed under: uncultured bacterium
Lineage: Bacteria
Description: partial 16S ribosomal RNA
Rfam family: Bacterial small subunit ribosomal RNA
Source: RNAcentral